GCCUACGGCCAUACUAUCCUAAACACAUUCAAUCUCGUCUGAUCUUGGAAGCUAAGCAGGGUUGGGCCUGGUUUGUACUUGGAUGAAAGACAGUCUGGGAAUACCGGGUGCUUUAUUAU
Molecule: ribosomal RNA, 119 nt
Filed under: Anolis carolinensis (green anole)
Lineage: Eukaryota; Metazoa; Chordata; Lepidosauria; Squamata; Anolidae
Source: RNAcentral